This 900-nucleotide ribosomal RNA is filed under the name Triticum aestivum (bread wheat). RNAcentral describes it as "partial small subunit ribosomal RNA". Lineage: Eukaryota; Viridiplantae; Streptophyta; Magnoliopsida; Poales; Poaceae. The record is from RNAcentral.
AUGACGGACUCAGCGGCUUGCCCACUUUGCCAAGCGACAGUGGAUACGUGGAGACACUCUCUGUUCGAUUGCCAUAUGUCACGUUGUGUCUGGGCUCUGGCUGAUGAGGAACUGAUAGAAGUAAUGAUCUCAAACCAAAUAGAGGAUGCUCGUUUGUGGAUGUUCUGGCUACUGGAUACUCUAAAAGAGCAAGAAGUUGUUCAGAUUUUGAUCACAAUGUGGGCCAUAUGGUGGGCGCGGCGCCGUGCUAUCCAUGAUGAGCAGUACCAAAGCCCCUUGAGCACUUCGGUUUUCAUCAACAAAUUUCUGUCCGAUCUUGAUUGCAUGGCUGUGCACAAGACACGCAUGAGGGACUUGCAUGCAAAGCCAAAGGACCUGCAUGUAACAGCGGGAAACUCGAGGACCAGAGCGACAGCACCUAGUUGGCUUCCUCCAACCGAUGCAGAAGCGAAGCUAAACAUUGAUGGAGGCGUGUCCAGAUCAGGUAGAAGGGGUGCAGCAGCUGUGGUCUGUCGUGACAGGGCGGGAGCUUUUCUUGGAGCCUCAGCCAGAGUUUUUGAGGGUCUCACGGAUCCGCCCUCGCUGGAAGCACAAUCAUGCAAUGAAGCCCUUGCUUUGGCGAUGGAUCUCAACCUCAACUCUAUAUGCGUGGCCUCGGAUUGUGCUGUUGUUAUUUCCAUGAUAGGCUCAGAUGUCCCCUGCCAGUUUGCCUCAGUUUUGAGUGAGAUAAAUCAUAGGGCUAGUUUUUUUCCUACUAUCCAUUUUAUUCAUGAGAAUAGGAAGCAUAAUUUCGAAGCGCACGCUCUUGCAAAAGCUGCGGCUUCUUUGUCUCCCGGGCGCCACCUGUGGCUUCUAAAUACGCCCGACAUCAUCUGUAUCCCUAUGAACAUCCAGAUUUAA